CAGUAUGCGUAUAAAUCUAUUAAUAUUGAACUGCCUUCGUUGAGCAACCACCAGUUACCAAAACUCAGUAUGCGCAAGAUAAUGCGCGGACGGACAAAGUAAUUGUCAAAUCUCAUGAAAAUGAAAACAUAUAUUAUCAUUUACAGUCUGUGCCAAUGUAUAGGUUGUACUAAUAAUAAGAAAGCUGCGGUUUGAUAGAGAUACAACUAUACCUGAAAAAUACAAGGAGAACGUUUCGAGCCCCUUUGUCGCUAUACUACUUCCCGACGAAGAGCCUUCGCUCAAAACGUUCUGGUAUUUUUUAGGUAGUCGUAUCUCUAUCAAACUUCGAUGAUACAAAUUUAACAACUAGUGGUAUAUCUGCCGAAGUUGUUCAAAGUCAAUUGAAUGAGGAUCUAGACAAAGUUCACUGGUGGUUGCUUGCCAAUAAAUUAACUCUAAAUA
Non-coding RNA from Paramuricea clavata, 444 nucleotides. The record is from the annotation of a GenBank genome assembly. NCBI's taxonomy places the organism in Eukaryota, Metazoa, Cnidaria, Anthozoa, Malacalcyonacea, Plexauridae.